GACAGAGGGUGCAAACGUUGUUCGGAAUUACUGGGCGUAAAGCGAGUGUAGGCGGUUCGAUAAGUCGGAUGUGAAAGCCCCGGGCUCAACCCGGGAAGUGCACUCGAUACUGUCGAGCUAGAGUAUCGGAGAGGUUGGUGGAAUUCUCGGGUGUAGAGGUGAAAUUCGUAGAUAUCGAGAGGAACACCGGUGGCGAAGGCGGCUCUCUGGGACGGUACUGACGCUGAGACGCGAAAGCGUGGGGAGCGAACAGG
This 254-nucleotide ribosomal RNA is filed under the name uncultured bacterium. RNAcentral describes it as "partial 16S ribosomal RNA". It matches the Rfam family "Bacterial small subunit ribosomal RNA", at positions 524 to 776 of the family's 1533-position model. The record is from RNAcentral.